Molecule: non-coding RNA, 2727 nt
Organism: Megalopta genalis
Lineage: Eukaryota; Metazoa; Arthropoda; Insecta; Hymenoptera; Halictidae
Source: RefSeq, a predicted model, not a curated record
AGCAGGAGUGCAGCUUCGUUACUUUAUGGAAAACUAAUCCUACAAUAAAUAGUUUUGCAGAAAUUAGAGAAAAGUUGCCUAGAAGAUGUUGUAAAAGGAAAAUAAAAAAAAUGCCGUUAAAUCUCACGAAGUUGUAAAUUUCCUUGCAUUUUAAAAACUCUAUCAGAUCUUGUCGAAUCGUGAAUUGUCUUUCAUUCGAAAGAAACGCACACGCCAUAAAUACGUGAAGAUCCGCGGUCCAAUUAAUAAUUAGACUAAUCAUUAAUGAAGCGAUUACCUAGACGAUACGGAGCGGCAGCUGCUACUACGGAUCCCUGUGCAACGCGUUCGCCGUUCGUUGAACCAAAAUUGAUUCGAAUAACUUUCAUGAACCAGAAUUGAUUCGAAUAACUUUCAUGAACCAGAAUUGAUUCGAGUAACUUUCUUGAACCAAAAUUGAUUCGAAUAACUUUCUCGAAUCAAAUUUGAUUCUCUAGAUGCACCGCCUCACCUACAAUGCAUAAUACAUUCGCGCACUCGUUGCACACCGCGGCUGCGAUUUACUCCGAUUUACUCGAUAUCACGGCCGGCGGCCAGCGCGAAUUUCAUCGGCGAGGAGAGGUCAACCUGCGAGAGAAGAAUAAGAAGAAUCCUAGAGAGACAGAGGGAGAGAUAGAGAGGACGUUACCAAACACGCGAAGGAGGGAGCGCCAGCUGGAAACGAUCGGCAGGGGCUCCUGUUGCAACUCCCCGACCACCACCAUCACCACUUCAACCCUCGCUGAAAUAAAGAGAGAAAACGCGUUCGCGAGCGUGCAACCCCGGCGGCGGGCUUUCCGGGGCUGUUGUUGAUCGGCGAGCGGUCCGCGGGCGGCGUCGGAGAGAAGAAAGGAAAUCGAUAUUGGGACCCCCCAAGGGCACGCGUUAUGUACGCCACUGUCGGGUAAAUUGCGGCCGCCCUGGGAAAAAAGCCAGCCAGCGGAAAUUUCGUCGUAUCGUUUCCCUGAUCCCCGCACCGUCGAGAAAUAUUAGGAACUAUCCCCCCCGCCCCCUCCUCACCCUGAAACCACUCUUACUGUCUCUACCGUUGCGUCUGACCGCGGAACAACAGUUUCCCGGUGGGAAUUGAUUUCCCCGAGUGCGAGAGAGGAGAUCGUCCUUCGGACGCGCGGUCUAAAUUUUUCAAAAGCAGUCAGUCCCUUGAUUUCCUCCGACGCGACGCACGGUCGUGCGAAACGCCCAUUUUUCUUGGACGCAGGUAACGUCUACUAGAGACAAUUCUCAAGGAAACGCAAAGGGAUGAACUUUACGCUCGCGUUCGGUUUAACAGAAAAUGCCCAUUUUUUCGUUCGCGAUUCGUCAGAUUGUAAAGAUGCAUUUACGUAUUAUAUCGUAAUUAUAUUAACACAUUUUUACUUUACUAUAUCUGUAAAUAAUGUUUUUACUGUGUGUAUAAGUCAAAAUUUAUUAUUAUUAUUAUUAUUACUAUAUAUAAUAAUAAAUUAAUAAAUAAUUAAUUAAUAGUAAAUUAUAUAUAUAUGUUAAUGUAUGAUAAAUAUAAUUGUGUAAAGCAACUUAUAAAAAUGUAUGUGUACUAUAUCGCUUUAAAUAAGUACCCCUAAUUUUAAUUAAUUAUUUAAACAUUCGAUAUCUAAUUUCUAUUAUUUGCUAAUAUAUUUAUUUAUUUUAAUAGCAAGUAUGUAUUAGUAUAUCAUAAAUUUAAUUAUCAAUAAUAUUUUGUUGAAAUAUUAUAACAUUCGAAUAUUAUAAAAUCAGAAUAAAAGUCUUAUUGUUACUUUUAAAAUAUUUUGUUGUACUUAAAUGCUAUUAUUUAAGUGUGGCAACAGCCAAGUAUAUGCUUUUAAACUUGUACAUUUAAAAUAAAAAUUUAUUCGACGCAGAGGGUAAUGUACACUCGCGUCGAAAAGUAUAUCAUCAACCCCUAACCUGAAUGCAAAAAAUUCAUUUCAUUGUGUUUCCUUAUGCUAGGAUCACUUGAUAAAAAAUUUAACACGUUCGCUGUCAGUGUCACUAAUAUCGUCGUAAUUAUAAUAUAAUUAUAUUGAGGAAAUUAGUUCGACGUUGUCUACGUGAAAUAGAAAACCAUAGUCGUCGCACACGCGUGACGCCGGCAGCGAACGCCUUCAGAAAACAGAAAAUUUCGACGAUAAAUUUUCACCGACUACUGUCCACGAAAAUAGGCUCCACUGUGCGGCGCGCGACGCCCGUAAUUCGAUAGCAUAAGUUCGCCCACGGCAUUUAUAUCCUUUCCCCCUUUUAUAUCCCGCUCCAUCCGGUAAUAUCGCGGCGACACGACGCGAUACCCCGGCAAGACAGCUGGGCGUGUUUUCAUCCCGAAGACGCAGGGGCAGGACGGCAAGAGAGAGAGAUUCGGCUGCACGCAUCCUCCCUUAGACACGGUUGCGAAUAAUUUUGUUGAAGCAAAGAUGAAAUGUGUAAAAGAAUCUAGCAAUUUCGAAAGAAGCGGCGCACCGAGACUCCGAACGUGUUUAACAGCUUCGAUGUUCGACGUUAAUGAAUGUACGAAAAUGUAAAAGUUUUAGGAAACGAAUAUAAUACGAACGAAUCUUUCGAAAGCUUAUAUUAUAUUAGAGCAAUAAUUUCAAUGCUAAUACUAUAAUACCAAUAAUAUAGUAAGUAACAAUAAUAUAGGGAGAAGUAAUUUGUCAUAGAAUUUGAAUUGUAAGGAAUAAUCUUGAGAUUAAUAAAAAAUAACUGUUCAUUUUA